This 345-nucleotide unclassified non-coding RNA is filed under the name soil metagenome. Its description in RNAcentral is "partial contains 5.8S ribosomal RNA, internal transcribed spacer 2, and large subunit ribosomal RNA". The stretch from base 1 to 120 matches the Rfam family "5.8S ribosomal RNA", at positions 35 to 154 of the family's 154-position model. The record is from RNAcentral.
GAUGAAGAACGUAGCGAAAUGCGAUAAGUAAUGUGAAUUGCAGAAUUCAGUGAAUCAUCGAAUCUUUGAACGCACAUUGCGCCCGCCAGAAUUCUGGCGGGCAUGCCUGUUCGAGCGUCAUUUCAACCCUCGAGCUCCCCUUGGGGAGCCCGGCGUUGGGGACCGGCAGUACCACCGCCGGCCCCGAAAUGGAGUGGCGGCCCCGCCCGCGGCGACCUCUGCGUAGUAAAUCCACUCGCACCGGGACCCGGGCGCGGCCACGCCGUAAAACACCCAACUUCCGAAUGUUGACCUCGAAUCAGGUAGGAAUACCCGCUGAACUUAAGCAUAUCAAUAAGCGGAGGA